GAUGAACGCUGGCGGCGUGCCUAAUACAUGCAAGUCGAGCGAACAGACGAGGAGCUUGCUCCUCUGACGUUAGCGGCGGACGGGUGAGUAACACGUGGAUAACCUACCUAUAAGACUGGGAUAACUUCGGGAAACCGGAGCUAAUACCGGAUAAUAUAUUGAACCGCAUGGUUCAAUAGUGAAAGACGGUUUUGCUGUGACUUAUAGAUGUAUCCGCGCCGCAUUAGCUUGUUGGUAAGGUAACGGCUUAACAAGGCAACGAUGGGUAGCCGACCUGAGAGGGUGACCGGCCACAAUGGGACUGAGAUACGGCCCAGACUCCUACGGGAGGCAGCAGUGGGGAAUCUUGACGAAUGGGCGGAAGCCUGAUGAAGAAACGCCGCGUGCGGGAUGACGGCCUUCGGGUUGUAAACCGAUUUCAGCAGGGGCGAAGCUUGUGGUGACGGUACCUGGAGAAGAAGCAACGGCUAACUACGUG
Molecule: ribosomal RNA, 478 nt
Filed under: uncultured bacterium
Lineage: Bacteria
Description: partial 16S ribosomal RNA
Rfam family: Bacterial small subunit ribosomal RNA
Source: RNAcentral